UAAGACGAACCGUACGAACGUUAUUCGGAAUCACUGGGCUUAAAGGGUGCGUAGGCGGACCUGCAAGUUGGGUGUGAAAGCCCUCGGCUCAACCGAGGAAUUGCGCUCAAAACUGCAGGACUUGAGGGAGACAGAGGUGAGCGGAACUUAGGGUGGAGCGGUGAAAUGCGUUGAUAUCCUAGGGAACACCAGUGGCGAAAGCGGCUCACUGGGUCUCUUCUGACGCUGAGGCACGAAAGCCAGGGGAGCGAACGGGAUUAGAUACCCCGGUAGUCCUGGCUGUAAACGAUGAGCACUGGGUCGGAGGGUCCUCCAUAGCCUUCCGGUCGUAGCGAAAGUGUUAAGUGCUCCGCCUGGGGAGUAUGGUCGCAAGGCUG
This 377-nucleotide ribosomal RNA is filed under the name uncultured bacterium. RNAcentral describes it as "bacterial SSU rRNA". It matches the Rfam family "Bacterial small subunit ribosomal RNA", at positions 521 to 896 of the family's 1533-position model. The record is from RNAcentral.